AUUUUUCUGGUUGCAAUUAUAAUAGUGUAGAAACUCUCUCUCUUUACUGCUAAUAUUAGGGAAAAAUACCUAGAUUGGAGUUUUAUGGCAUACUUCCUGGCUUUUUUCUGCUUUGUGUCAUAAGCUUGACCUACAUAUUGUAGAAGAUCUAGAAACUUGUCUAUAUACUUAUCUACACUCAUCUCCUCAGUCUACCUUUAUUGCUCAAACUCUAUCACUUUCAG
Molecule: long non-coding RNA, 224 nt
Filed under: Manihot esculenta (cassava)
Lineage: Eukaryota; Viridiplantae; Streptophyta; Magnoliopsida; Malpighiales; Euphorbiaceae
Description: long non-coding RNA (MESC_LNC007114)
Source: RNAcentral